CGGCGGACGGGUGAGUAAUGCUUAGGAAUCUGCCUAUUAGUGGGGGACAACGUUCCGAAAGGGACGCUAAUACCGCAUACGUCCUACGGGAGAAAGCAGGGGAUCUUCGGACCUUGCGCUAAUAGAUGAGCCUAAGUCGGAUUAGCUAGUUGGUGGGGUAAAGGCCUACCAAGGCGACGAUCUGUAGCGGGUCUGAGAGGAUGAUCCGCCACACUGGGACUGAGACACGGCCCAGACUCCUACGGGAGGCAGCAGUGGGGAAUAUUGGACAAUGGGGGGAACCCCUGAUCCAGCCAUGCCGCGUGUGUGAAGAAGGCCUUUUGGUUGUAAAGCACUUUAAGUGGGGAGGAGGCUUACCUGGUUAAUACCUGGGAUAAGUGGACGUUACCCACAGAAUAAGCACCGGCUAACUCUGUGCCAGCAGCCGCGGUAAUACAGAGGGUGCGAGCGUUAAUCGGAUUUACUGGGCGUAAAGCGCGCGUAGGUGGUUAAUUAAGUCAAAUGUGAAAUCCCCGAGCUUAACUUGGGAAUUGCAUUCGAUACUGGUUAGCUAGAGUAUGGGAGAGGAUGGUAGAAUUCCAGGUGUAGCGGUGAAAUGCGUAGAGAUCUGGAGGAAUACCGAUGGCGAAGGCAGCCAUCUGGCCUAAUACUGACACUGAGGUGCGAAAGCAUGGGGAGCAAACAGGAUUAGAUACCCUGGUAGUCCAUGCCGUAAACGAUGUCUACUAGCCGUUGGGGGAUUGAUCCUUUAGUGGCGCA
This 759-nucleotide ribosomal RNA is filed under the name Acinetobacter sp. SAL_13. Its description in RNAcentral is "bacterial SSU rRNA". It matches the Rfam family "Bacterial small subunit ribosomal RNA", at positions 96 to 850 of the family's 1533-position model. The record is from RNAcentral. Lineage: Bacteria; Pseudomonadati; Pseudomonadota; Gammaproteobacteria; Moraxellales; Moraxellaceae.